This 1182-nucleotide long non-coding RNA is filed under the name Carassius auratus (goldfish). RNAcentral's name for it is "lncRNA (ENSCARG00000009411.1)". Lineage: Eukaryota; Metazoa; Chordata; Actinopteri; Cypriniformes; Cyprinidae. The record is from RNAcentral.
UUUAACAGUCCAGGUGUCAAGGGCAAAGGGACCCAAUCCGGCAGAAGACAAAGAUCCUAUAUUUGAACGUGGCUCUACCACAACCUACUCAAGCUUUAGGAAGGGCAGCUACACCAAACCCUGGUCCAGCGGAGAUCAGACGUCAGUCAAAACGCACCUCUUAAUCCAACAUGUGUUAUACAUUUCAUUUAUAUAGGAUCCUUUCUUUGACUAUUCCAGAGACUGAAAUGUUUUACUUGGCCAUCAGCAUGGUGGGGACAGACUUCUCCAUGACUGGUCAGCUGUUUCCACACCGAGCUCGAAAAGAGAUUAAGUAUGUAAUGAGAUCAACAAUCAAGCGGCCCUUACUCUUCUGACCAUCGGGAACCCAGCUCAGAUGAUCCAGACAUCAGAAAUGCCCUGUACAAGUGGAAAUGAUAUUGUUGUACAUGAAGAGGUCGUCCAUGAGGAAGAUAUCACAGAAACAGCCAUCAUGUCUAGUUCUUCUGUAAGCUGUGAGUCUGAGACAAAAGGUGACGUUGAAUUUUCGAACUGUGAAACUCAUAUUCCAGAACCUUCUGCUGAAGAAACCAUCAUCCAGAAAGAAGAACCAAUCAAAUUACAGACAACUGAUCUCAUCCUGCUCCCAUUCAACAUGAUACACAGUCUCCACCAAGUAAAAGAGGACGAUACUCCAAACCCAAACCCAAUAUUAGUCAGUGUUUGAGAACCAGAUGAGCUCCACAGCAGCAGAUCUCUCCAGAACUUGUCACAGGUUCUUUGGGGACCUCUAAGUGUCCGUCUUCCACAGAACAGGAUAAAAAUCCAAUGCAAGAAGAUUGUGUUCCUGUGGAUCACCUGCCAGAUUCCUUUACCAUCCGCCCUGAGGUACUACAGCCGGAUAUAUCAUCUGAAACAAGAGAUGUCAUUCCUGAAAGAGUGACUAAAGAAGAUAAUAGAUCCGUUUCAUCUUUGAAGAGAAAGGAUGAUGAUAUAAUCACAGAGGAAGAUAUAAAAGAACAAGAAGGGUUGGGAUCAGAACCACAGCUGACUAAAAGUGUGAACGAGUCUCAGAGCACAUCAGUUGAGUCCUCUAAACCUGUCAGGAGGCACUGUAGACUCAAACCUCAACCAAACCUGACUCAGACAUCCAGACGCAGCAGCACAUCAACCACAGCAGGCUUCCAUGAACACUUUCACUGA